This 468-nucleotide small RNA is filed under the name Histoplasma ohiense. RNAcentral describes it as "hypothetical lncRNA". Lineage: Eukaryota; Fungi; Ascomycota; Eurotiomycetes; Onygenales; Ajellomycetaceae. The record is from RNAcentral.
GCUCAUGUAGUUUCUAACAAUUCUUCCAUGUAGCUCUUAACAUUCUUCCACUCCAUGCUCCGCACUCACAUAGUCUCUAACAAUUCUUCUGUGUAGCUCCUUACAUUCUCCCACUCUGUGUUCCAUGCUUGUGUAGUCUCUAAUGAUUCUUCUGCAAAGCUUCUUAUGUUCUUCUGCUCUGUGUUCUGCACUUAUGUAGUCUCUAACAAUUCUUCUGCAUAGUCCUCAAUGAUUCCCCCACCCCACAUUCCGCACUUGUGUAGCUUCUAACAAUUCUUAUGUGUAUCUCUUAAUGUUCUUCCACUCCACACUCCACUGUGGAAUGGCUUCUGAUAUUCUUCCACUCUGAACUUUCCUCUAUAAGAACCCUCUUUGUAUGAUCUCUUCUUCUGAUUUCUUUUCUCUUUCUUUUCUUAAUCAAUUUGUAAUCUGUAAUUAGAAUAGUAUCAAAUCAUUAAUCAAAGUAUG